UACGUAGGUGGCAAGCGUUGUCCGGAAUCACUGGGCGUAAAGCGCGCGCAGGCGGCGAUCUACGUCUGGGGUGAAAGCCCGGGGCUCAACCUCGGGACUGCCUUGGAUACGGGAUCGCUUGAGAAUCGGAGAGGUAAGGGGAAUUCCACGUGUAGCGGUGAAAUGCGUAGAUAUGUGGAGGAACACCAGUGGCGAAGGCGCCUUACUGGCCGAUUUCUGACGCUGAGGCGCGAAAGCGUGGGGAGCAAACAGG
Molecule: non-coding RNA, 253 nt
Filed under: uncultured bacterium
Lineage: Bacteria
Also listed under: 1 other name
Description: partial 16S ribosomal RNA
Rfam family: Bacterial small subunit ribosomal RNA
Source: RNAcentral